UGGGGAAUCUUGCGCAAUGCGCGAAAGCGUGACGCAGCAACGCCGCGUGAGGGAAGACGGCCUUAGGGUUGUAAACCUCUUUCAGUUGGGACGAAGGUCGGCACGUUAAUAGCGUGUCCGACUGACGGUACCUUCACAAGAAGCCCCGGCUAACUACGUGCCAGCAGCCGCGGUAAUACGUAGGGGGCAAGCGUUGUCCGGAAUUAUUGGGCGUAAAGAGCGUGUAGGCGGUCCGGUAAGUCAGCUGUGAAAGUCAAGGGCUCAACCCUUGAAAGCCGGUUGAUACUGUCGGGCUAGAGUCCGGAAGAGGCGAGUGGAAUUCCCGGUGUAGCGGUGAAAUGCGCAGAUAUCGGGAGGAACACCAAUGGCGAAGGCAGCUCGCUGGGACGGUACUGACGCUGAGACGCGAAAGCGUGGGGAGCAAACAGGAUUAGAUACCCUGGUAGUCCACGCCGUAAACGAUGGGCACUAGGUGUUGGGGGUGUCGACUCCCCCGGCGCCGUAGCUAACGCAUUAA
Molecule: ribosomal RNA, 517 nt
Filed under: uncultured Actinomycetes bacterium
Lineage: Bacteria; Bacillati; Actinomycetota; Actinomycetes
Description: bacterial SSU rRNA
Rfam family: Bacterial small subunit ribosomal RNA
Source: RNAcentral